This is a long non-coding RNA of Juglans microcarpa x Juglans regia, 155 nucleotides long. RefSeq lists it as uncharacterized. Lineage: Eukaryota; Viridiplantae; Streptophyta; Magnoliopsida; Fagales; Juglandaceae. The record is from RefSeq and is a predicted model, not a curated record. The transcript has 3 exons.
AACAACUUACCUCGACCCCUAUCGCGGCGAAGAGCGGACCAGCCACAUCGCUGUCUGAAUUACCUCCCCACGGGAUAACAGAGGGAAAUGUAGGCCGAAAGGUUGCCUUAUCGCUCCUACGACGGAGUGCAGGUCAGGUUUCGGCUACCCUAAGA